AAAAAAUUAGUUAAAAUAUAACAUUAGCUUGUCAAGUUAAAAUUACUAAAAAUUAGUAUUUUUUA
RNAcentral lists this transfer RNA (65 nucleotides) under Cucujoidea sp. 20 KM-2017. RNAcentral's name for it is "tRNA-Asp". The record is from RNAcentral. Lineage: Eukaryota; Metazoa; Arthropoda; Insecta; Coleoptera.